RNAcentral lists this ribosomal RNA (253 nucleotides) under uncultured bacterium. RNAcentral's name for it is "partial 16S ribosomal RNA". It matches the Rfam family "Bacterial small subunit ribosomal RNA", at positions 524 to 776 of the family's 1533-position model. The record is from RNAcentral.
UACGGAGGAUCCAAGCGUUAUCCGGAUUUAUUGGGUUUAAAGGGUGCGUAGGCGGAUUGAUAAGUUAGAGGUGAAAUGUCCGAGCUCAACUCGGGAACUGCCUCUAAUACUGUUGAUCUAGAGAGUAGAUGCGGUAGGCGAAAUGUAUGGUGUAGCGGUGAAAUGCUUAGAGAUCAUACAGAACACCGAUUGCGAAGGCAGCUUACCAAUCUAUAUCUGACGUUGAGGCACGAAAGCGUGGGGAGCAAACAGG